RNAcentral lists this ribosomal RNA (468 nucleotides) under uncultured bacterium. Its description in RNAcentral is "partial 16S ribosomal RNA". It matches the Rfam family "Bacterial small subunit ribosomal RNA", at positions 28 to 523 of the family's 1533-position model. The record is from RNAcentral.
GAUGAACGCUGGCGGCGUGCCUAACACAUGCAAGUCGAGCGAUUCUCUUCGGAGAAGAGCGGCGGACGGGUGAGUAACGCGUGGGUAACCUGCCUCAUACACAUGGAUAACAUACCGAAAGGUAUGCUAACACAGGAUAAUAUAAGAGAUUCACAUGGAUUUCUUAUCAAAGCUCCGGCGGUAUGAGAUGGACCCGCGUCUGAUUAGCUAGUUGGUAAGGUAACGGCUUACCAAGGCGACGAUCAGUAGCCGACCUGAGAGGGUGAUCGGCCACAUUGGAACUGAGACACGGUCCAAACUCCUACGGGAGGCAGCAGUGGGGAAUAUUGCACAAUGGGCGAAAGCCUGAUGCAGCAACGCCGCGUGAGUGAUGAAGGCCUUCGGGUCGUAAAACUCUGUCCUCAAGGAAGAUAAUGACGGUACUUGAGGAGGAAGCCCCGGCUAACUACGUGCCAGCCGCCGCUGUAA